UGGGGAAUUUUGGACAAUGGGCGAAAGCCUGAUCCAGCAAUGCCGCGUGUGUGAAGAAGGCCUUCGGGUUGUAAAGCACUUUUGUCCGGAAAGAAAUCCUCUGGGUUAAUACCUCGGGGGGAUGACGGUACCGGAAGAAUAAGCACCGGCUAACUACGUGCCAGCAGCCGCGGUAAUACGUAGGGUGCAAGCGUUAAUCGGAAUUACUGGGCGUAAAGCGUGCGCAGGCGGUUUUGUAAGACGGAUGUGAAAUCCCCGGGCUUAACCUGGGAACUGCAUUCGUGACUGCAAGGCUAGAGUAUGGCAGAGGGGGGUAGAAUUCCACGUGUAGCAGUGAAAUGCGUAGAGAUGUGGAGGAAUACCGAUGGCGAAGGCAGCCCCCUGGGCCAAUACUGACGCUCAUGCACGAAAGCGUGGGGAGCAAACAGGAUUAGAUACCCUGGUAGUCCACGCCCUAAAACGAUGUCAACUAGUUGUUGGGGAUUCAUUUCCUUAGUAACGUAGCUAACGCGUGAAGUUGACCGCCUGGGGGAGUACGGUCGCAAGAUUAAAACUUAAAUGAAUUGACGGGGUCUUAGCUGUUUCCU
RNAcentral lists this ribosomal RNA (587 nucleotides) under uncultured bacterium. RNAcentral's name for it is "partial 16S ribosomal RNA". It matches the Rfam family "Bacterial small subunit ribosomal RNA", at positions 355 to 938 of the family's 1533-position model. The record is from RNAcentral.